CCUACGGGAGGCAGCAGUGAGGAAUAUUGGUCAAUGGGCGCGAGCCUGAACCAGCCAAGUAGCGUGAAGGAUGACUGCCCUACGGGUUGUAAACUUCUUUUAUAAAGGAAUAAAGUGAGGCACGUGUGCCUUUUUGUAUGUACUUUAUGAAUAAGGAUCGGCUAACUCCGUGCCAGCAGCCGCGGUAAUACGGAGGAUCCGAGCGUUAUCCGGAUUUAUUGGGUUUAAAGGGUGCGUAGGCGGGUUGUUAAGUUAGAGGUGAAAGUUUGGGGCUUAACUGGGGAACUGCCACUAAUACUGGUGGUCUAGAGAACAGAUGCGGUAGGCGGAAUGUAUGGUGUAGCGGUGAAAUGCUUAGAGAUCAUACAGAACACCGAUUGCGAAGGCAGCUUACCAAUCUAUAACUGACGUUGAGGCACGAAAGCGUGGGGAGCAAACAGGAUUAGAUACCCUUGUAGUC
This 460-nucleotide ribosomal RNA is filed under the name uncultured bacterium. RNAcentral describes it as "partial 16S ribosomal RNA". It matches the Rfam family "Bacterial small subunit ribosomal RNA", at positions 338 to 795 of the family's 1533-position model. The record is from RNAcentral.